Molecule: long non-coding RNA, 1077 nt
Filed under: Gadus morhua (Atlantic cod)
Lineage: Eukaryota; Metazoa; Chordata; Actinopteri; Gadiformes; Gadidae
Description: lncRNA (ENSGMOG00000033223.1)
Source: RNAcentral
AUGGUGUGUGUGUGUGUGUGUGUGUGUGUGUGUGUGUGUGUGUGUGUGUGUGUGUGUGUGUGUGUGUGUGUGUGUGUGUGUGUGUGUGUGUGUGUGUGUGUGUGUGUGUGUGUGUGUGUGUGUGUGUGUGUGUGGUUCCUGCAGGUGGUGGAGGACAAUUUCCCAGAUGAUGAAUUGAAGGCUUUUAUAGUGUCCAGUAUUUCCAGUCAGGAUUACUCGUGCACGACCCUCUCCUUCUAUGCCCUGCACUCUGGAUGCUACAAGGGGCUUGCUAACGGGAACAUCAUGAUUCAGGGCAGACGACUCCUCAUACCGUUAAAAGACUCCAGUAGCAAGCUGCCGGUGCUAUUUGCGGUGGAGUUUAAGGAGCUGCGGAGCUACAGCUUGUGGGAGCAGAGCGAGUUGCAGGCCCGCGGGCUGCGGUACCAGAGCGAGCACCUCGAGCCCCCCAUGUUCCUCCUGCUCCUGGUCUCCUACCCCCAGGCCGUCGCCACACAGACGCUUCUCCUCAAGAUGUCAGGCCAACAGCGCACGGACAGCCUGGGUCAGGUGAGCCCCUUCCUGCUGCUGAGCCUGCGGACCAGGAUGGAAGGCGUGGAGUCGGCCGUGCUGCGCUCGGCCCUGGAUCUGGCCUCCCUGAGCAACCUGUCCGAGCUGCACACCGACCGGCCCGUGGACAUCCUGAGCGAGCUGGACGACUUCCAGUCGCCGGAGAUGUCUCUGGACGACUCUCUGGAGUUCAUCAGGAGGAUCGGGCUGGACCCCCAGCUGCUGAGCUUGCUGGGGGCCAAGGACAGUCCGGAGCUCGCGCCGGAUCCCCCCGCGUCGCCCCCGGAGCCGGCGGGACUGUUUGACCUGCACAUCCAGGUGUGCGACCCCGACACCGGCCUACCGUCGGAGCCCAGCACCGUGAUAGACGACGAGGCGACCCCGGCGCUAGAGAGCUCCGCGCCGAGCGACGAGAAGGCGUGCCCCGCCGAGGUGAGUAGUGCUUCUCCUUCCUUUUUCUUCUGCGUCUUUCUCUCUCUCCACACCGAAGGCAUCGCGUGUGCGUGUUUUUGUGGACACCCUCCCUGA